RNAcentral lists this ribosomal RNA (274 nucleotides) under uncultured bacterium. RNAcentral's name for it is "partial 16S ribosomal RNA". It matches the Rfam family "Bacterial small subunit ribosomal RNA", at positions 523 to 796 of the family's 1533-position model. The record is from RNAcentral.
AUACGGAGGGUGCAAGCGUUGUUCGGAAUCACUGGGCGUAAAGCGCGUGUAGGCGGUUCGACAAGUCGAAUGUGAAAGCCCAGGGCCCAACCCUGGAACUGCAUCCGAAACUGUCGGGCUAGAGUCUCGGAGAGGAAGACAGAAUUCCCAGUGUAGGGGUGAAAUCCGUAGAUAUUGGGAGGAAUACCAGUUGCGAAGGCGGCCUUCUGGACGAUGACUGACGCUGAUACGCGAAAGCGUGGGGAGCAAACAGGAGUAGAAACCCCGGUAGUCC